CCUUUUCUGCUUAAUUGGACAGCAGCAGUAGAAAUAGAUGGGAAACACAGAGGUGAGAGAGGAUGCAAAGGGCCCAAGCCGGAUUCAGACCUUGGUCGCUGUGAUAACAGUAUGUUGUACAUGUUCUACUAGGUCUUAUGUCUGCCAGUGGUUGUACUUGACAUGGACCUCAUCAAACUCUUUGUUGUCCUACUAGUCUACCUUUAUCAUCAGAUCCCAAUAAUAAAUAGUCUGCGAACACCUGAUUGAGUCUUCAAGCAGAGAUUACGACAACACCUGCUCAAAGUUCCAGUUUCAUGAACAUCGCACCAUGUCUGUAUGAGACUCUGUCCCCGUCUUCAGUCAAGUCUGGACCCAAUGACUCCGACACCAGUCUUGUCAAG
Molecule: long non-coding RNA, 383 nt
Organism: Cololabis saira (Pacific saury)
Lineage: Eukaryota; Metazoa; Chordata; Actinopteri; Beloniformes; Belonidae
Exons: 3
Source: RefSeq, a predicted model, not a curated record